AGGGGGCGGGGCCGAGGGGGCGCGGCUCCCGGCGGCCCCCGGGGCUGCGGGGUCUUGCCUGCAGGCUUCUCGCAGCCCGCGGCUGAAAUCACCUCGUCUGCUCCCCACGCCCUUGCCUGGUUCUGCAUCCUCACUCUGCCCAGGGGUCCCCGAUCUGAGCGCGCGGGAACCCGAAGAAAAGACUGAACCACGUUAAAGCGGGGAGUGGCAGAGGCCUUUGGGCCUUCCGGAGCCCCUCUAAAAACAAGAACAAUAUGAAAAUGGCUUGAAUCCCGACUCCUUCACUGACUCGCUGUAAGAUACUGUGGCUGCUGAGCCUCAAUUUUCUCCGUUGUACAAUGCAGACCUAGUCUGCAGAGCUGUUGCAUGCAGGUGGAGUUCCAUAGAUGCAGACUUGUGCCCAAGCGGAAGAGAAUGGAGGCCUCUACGGAGCUUCUUCGGGGUCUCUAGAACGUGCAGCUUGGCUCUUGGCCAACCCGCACUCCCUUGGAAACCCGGUGGAGAGGAUGUGGCAAAACUAGGCUCCAAGCUGGCCCAGGGAUUAGGCCACUGUGUUCAGGGAUGGGCUUUCUGCUGCCUGCCAGGUCCCAGGCUCCCUCUUCCCUGGAUGGAGCUGGGGAACCCUGCCAAAUUCUCACUCCAACCUUCCAACAUUCGUUUAUUCAGUGAAUAUUUAUCGAUGCCCGCUGGGGACUUUGGUGGCACUGGAAACAGAGUCGUGCUCAGGCUUGAAAUAGGGAGACCAAGGACUUUUUGUGCAAUCUCAACCGAAUGUGAUAACUGCACUGGCGACUCCCUGCAGCUGCCUUGGCCCCUCUCCAGGCUGCUCUGGGGCCUCGGAAACCCUGACCUGUUCCUGGUUCUCUAGAGGUCGUAGGAAAAACACCCACCCCUCACCCUGGUCUACAGGGUAGUCUUUUGUUGUUGUUGUUUUUAAGAUUUUAUUUAUUUAUUUGAGAGAGAGAGAGCAUGAGAGGGGAGAGGUCAGAGGGAGAAGCAGACUCCCCACCAAGCAGGGAGCCUGAUGUGAGACUUGAUCCCAGGACUCCAGGAUCAUGACCUAAGCAGAAGGCAGUUGCUUAACCAACUGAGCCACCCAGGCACCCUGUCUACAGGGUAGUCUUAUCAGGCCUGUGCCAACCUGUCCAGCCACAUCCCCCUGUACUCCCAUUAUCCCUAUCCAGCAACACUGGUCUUCCUUCUGUUCCUCAAAUAUUCUUACUUUACUUCCAACCACAGGGCCUUUACACUGGCUGUUUUUUGGUCUGGAAUGUCCUUCCAUCACAUCUCCCAAGACUAGCCUUUUCUGAUCAUUUAGGUCUCUAUUUAAAUGCCACCUCCUCCAAGAGACCUUUCCAUACCCUGUCAUAUUUAUUAUAAAUAUGGCCCUGUUUUCUUUAUUUUAACUGUCACUCCUCUCUGAAAUUGCUCAACAUUUGGCCUAUGCUCACUCAGUCUUUGCAGAAUGUGUGAGUGGACACAGUGUGAGGUGUCAGAAGAACAGUAUCCCAAGACAGCCCAUGCCUUAAGGAGGCAACUGCCCCACUGUGGGAGAGGCAGAAGGGCUGGCACUAAGGACAAAUUGGGAAACUACAAGGGUGGUAAAGAUGAAUAGGGUGUCUGACUGAAGGAAAAGCAGGGCAAUGUCCUAGAAGAAGGUGAGGGAGAACCUGAGAUGUCCUGAUUCUUCCCCUCAUCUCUAUUCCGCGCCCCUCAUCCAUACCACUCUGGUCGGGUGGUUACCGCCCCUCAAAAACACUUAUUCCUAUUAUUCCUCAUCCCUUAUUCCAGGGCCUUUGUACUUGCUGUUCCCCUCUGCCUGCCGUGUUUUCCUUCUCCUCUUGGCAUCCUUUCUUCUUCAUUUCAUUUCCAUCUUGGCUCAAAUGCCUCCUUAGAGAAGUACUCCCUGACUGCAUCUCCACCUAAAACAGGCCCCACCCCAUCUCUACUAAACUCUACCCCUCACAUCGCUCCAUUUUUUUCUUCCUUGCAAAUUUUAAUAGAUUUUACUCUAUUUUCUUACUUGUCUGUCUCAAUCAGGAUGUCAGCUCUCCAAGAACAGGGAUCAUUGUCUGUCUUGUUCACUGCUGAGUCCCCAGCUUCUAGAACAGUGUCUAGCGACGGAAAGUGCUGGAAUAAAUAGCUAUGGGAUGUACAGGUGGUUGAACAAGCAGAGCAUCAUGGGGUAUGGCUGGAGGGUUUAGUGCUGAUGAACCUGGAGCAGGAACAGUCUCCAGAUACCACAGAUGAUGGGGAUGGAGGGCCUCCAGCACCUCCCUGAAGUUCGAACUUGACCCUGAGGAUCGUGGUGCUGCUGACGGAUUCUUAGCAGAGGAGGAACUGAAUGAGGAUUCUUUCUCAAAAGGCUCUUUGCAAACCAAGUCUCCCACCAGCCAACUGGGGGUCAGAAAAAGAGACGGGAGUAGAUUCAUCUGAUACCAGAAAGGCUAAAUGUAUCAACAAAGCUAAACUCAAAAACUUUGGGUUGGGGGGG
Molecule: long non-coding RNA, 2494 nt
Organism: Lutra lutra (Eurasian river otter)
Lineage: Eukaryota; Metazoa; Chordata; Mammalia; Carnivora; Mustelidae
Exons: 3
Source: RefSeq, a predicted model, not a curated record